GACGAACGCUGGCGGCGUGCUUAACACAUGCAAGUCGAACGGAAAGGCCCUGCUUUUGUGGGGUGCUCGAGUGGCGAACGGGUGAGUAACACGUGAGUAACCUGCCCUUGACUUUGGGAUAACUUCAGGAAACUGGGGCUAAUACCGGAUAGGAGCUCCUGCUGCAUGGUGGGGGUUGGAAAGUUUCGGCGGUUGGGGAUGGACUCGCGGCUUAUCAGCUUGUUGGUGGGGUAGUGGCUUACCAAGGGUUUGACGGGUAGCCGGCCUGAGAGGGUGACCGGCCACAUUGGGACUGAGAGACGGCCCAGACUCCUACGGGAGGCAGCAGUGGGGAAUAUUGCACAAUGGGCGGAAGCGUGAUGCAGCAACGCCGCGUGCGGGAUGACGGCCUUCGGGUUGUAAACCGAUUUCGCCUGUGACGAAGCGUGAGUGACGGUAAUGGGUAAAGAAGCACCGGCUAACUACGUG
Molecule: ribosomal RNA, 468 nt
Filed under: uncultured bacterium
Lineage: Bacteria
Description: partial 16S ribosomal RNA
Rfam family: Bacterial small subunit ribosomal RNA
Source: RNAcentral